Long non-coding RNA from Pan troglodytes (chimpanzee), 4688 nucleotides. RefSeq lists it as uncharacterized. The record is from RefSeq and is a predicted model, not a curated record. The transcript has 3 exons. Lineage: Eukaryota; Metazoa; Chordata; Mammalia; Primates; Hominidae.
UGCUAAGCAACACGCGCUGAGCGCUUUCUCUUUCUGAUUCUUCCUUUUCUCUAUCCAGCUCGGUAGGCGUGCCCUUUGAACCAGACAUACACAGCAAACAAAGAGCCGACCGAGGGCAGGAGCCCCCACAGGCGCUUGCGCACAGCGUGCGGGGUAAUCAGUCAGAUGGGUUUGCUUUUCCUCUCCGCGGGUUCAACCUCAUUCAUGGAGCACGACCCGACCCCUCUCACUUGGUCAGCAAAACAAGAGGCCAGGAUGUCUGCUGACAAGGGAGCCAAGCAGAAGACACUAGUGUUUUCUGCCUUGCUAAUGAUGUAGCCAAAGUGCUAGGAGCCAACACAAUCCCUUCACCAGCAUGAGCAAAUCUUUCGAAUGUCUGUCUUAAUAGAAGAUGGCCAGAUUCUCAUAUCCACUUCUGCAUUGGGUCUGCUGCAAUUGGUUGUUUUGGCUGACAUAUAUGAAGAAAAUCCAGCUUCAUGCAGAUAUAUAGUUGGAAAGAGAGAAACAUCUUAAUAACCUUUUUAGAGAAUUGUGGAUAUUCUUUGAAACUACAUCAAAACUGGAUAAGAGAUUGUUUCCUAAAGGUUCAUUCUAAUGAAGAAUCUGAAACAUUUCAAUAAAUGUUUUGCAUUCUGUUACAUUAAAAUCCAUAGCUCUUUGAGUGGAUCUCAUACUCAAGCAUGAUUUUCAUGCAUUGGUCAUUUGAAAAAUAAUAGCUCACUGAGUUAUGUGAGUCUUCUAAAUGUUGACACAUUUCCUUAGCAAUACAAAAAUAUAUUACAUUAAUUAACAUCACCUCCAAUCUCAUUAGAGAACUCUUUUAAGUCUUUGGGAAUUUUGAAGCCUUCAUAGUAGCAGUCGCAAGUUUUCUAAAAUUCUAAUUUUUGCUUGAAAGCUCAAAUUCUGCAUGUUGGUAACCAGAAAAAAAAAAAGCUCAAGUUUUUAAAUUAUUUACAACAAAUAUGACAGGUUUUUUUGUUUGUUUGCUUGUUUUUGUUUUUAGACAGAGUUUUGCUCUUCUCGCCCAGGCUGGAGUGUAAUGGCGUGAUCUCAACUCACUGCAACCUCUGCUUCCCAGGUUCAAGCAAUUCUUCUGCCUCAGCCUCCUGAGUAGCUGGCAUUACAGGUGCACGCCACCAUGCCCAGCUAAUUUUUGUGUUUUUAACAGAGACGGGGUUUCACCAUGUUGAUCAGGCUGAUCUCGAACUCUUGAUCUCAGGUGAUCCACCUGUCUCGGCCUCCUCCCAAAGUACUGGGAUUUCAGGCAUGAGCCACUGUGCCUGGCCACCAUUUUUUUUUUUUUUUUUAAAGGGAUGAGCUCGCUGGGUGGUUUUUAAAAAGAUGCCAGUCAUUCUUUCGAUUAAAAUGAAAAAAUGAAAAAACAGUUAGUUUAAAAAAAAAAAAACCUAGUUCAGUUCACAGCUCAAAGAGUUGCUCAGAGAAUUUUCCUCAAUAUAAUCACUGUGCACACACAGGUGCCCUGUACUUCCUAUUUAGUCACACAGAAUAUUAAAAAGACAUGUAAUCAGGCCCUAGAUUUUGUAAAAUCAAUUCAGUUUCAAUUUCACUGGGGUGAAAUGGUUAAGUGAAACUGGGUGUUUAUUUUUUAGCUGCAAAUGCUUGGUGGUGGUGGCCACAUGACUGCUAGUGUGGUUUGGUGCCAUGGCCUUGGGUCACGCUAAGCACCAGCAGUUUUACCCACCAUGGCUUUUGCACCAUCAGUGCAAAUGUCAGCACAAUGUAAAAAGCAAAUAAUGUACUAGUAUUAUCAUGAAAAUAGUUUUGACCUGGUAGACCUCUCAAAAAAUAUCUCUAGGGGCCCCCAGAGUUUUGUAGAACACACUUUGACAACCAUUACUCUAGGGUACAAACUUAGAAAUGGAACUGCUGAAUUGUAGGUUGUGUUUAUGUUUAACUUCCAAAAUACUGCCAAAUUGUUUUCCAAAAUGAAUGUACCAAUUUAUACUUAAACCACCAGUGUAUGAAUUCUGGUUUCUUUGUCUUGCCUAAACUUGGUACAGCCACAUAUCUCUUCUUUUUUAAAAAAUUCAUUAUUAUUAUUUGUUUUGAGACGGAGUCUUGUUCUGUCACCCAGGCUGGAGUACAAUAGCGAAAUCUUGGCUCACUACAACUUCUGCCUCCCGAGUUCAAGUGAUUCUCCUGCCUCAGCCUCCCGAGUGGCUGGGAUUACAGGCACAUACCACCACCUGGCUAAUUUUUUUAUAUUUUUGGUAGAGACGGGGUUUCACCAUGUUGGCCAGGCUCAUCUCAAACUCCUGACCUCAAGUGAUCUGCCCCCAUUGGCCUCCCAAAGUGCUGGGAUUACAGGUGUGAGCCACCGUACCUGGCCACAUAUCUCUUCUUAAAUUUGUGCUGUUCUAACUGGUAUACUGAAGAAUACAUUUAGUGUUGAUUCAUUAAUUGCUUAUUUAUGAUAAAAAUUUAAACCUUAUUGACAUACAUUAAAAAAACCUCAAUAAAUGGAGAUAACAUGUUAAUUUUUAAAUUGUGCUCUUAUAGAUGAACGAGCUUACUAAAAUACCAGAACUUUCUAUUACUUAUUCUUUACAACAAUCUUAUGAAGUAGUUACUAUAGUUUCACACCUGAGAACUGAGGCGUGGGAGGGGUAAGAAUCUCAUUCAGGGUCCCACAGCUUGCUGGGAAGGUAAGCCACCACUACACCACCCUCAUGGACUCAGGCACCACACACAUUCAACCAGGCAGGGGUUUAGGAAGAAAAAGGGAAAAUACGAGAAGACACAACAUUUAUUUUUUAUAUAAGGCUGUCACUGGGCCAGGUAUGGUGGUUUAUGCCUGCGAUCCCAGCACUUUGGGAGGCUGAGGCUGAUGGAUCACUUGAGGUCAGGAGUUCGAGACCAGCCUGACAACAUGGUGAAACCCCAUCUCUACUAAAAAUACAAAAAUUAGCUGGGUUUGGUGGUGGGCACCUGUAAUCCUAGCUACUUGGGAGGCUGAGGCAGGAGAAUUGCUUGAACCCAGGAGGCAGAGGUUGCAGUGAGGCAAGAUCACGCCGUUGCACUCCAGCCUGGGUGAAAGAGGGAAACUCCGUCUCAAAAAAAAAAAAAAAAUGCUGUCAUUGAUUUCUUAUGGAAUUUUGGCUGGGAUUUAUUUUUAUGUAGGCUUUCAAAUUGUUACAAAUCUUUCUGACUUAUUUAAUGCCAACAGUAUUUUAUCUGCUAUAGAGUACUUCAGGAAGAAGACUGAUUUAUUCCUUGAAAAAGUGGCAGUGAUACCAUAAUUUCAAAUUCAUUUCAGCUGUUUUCUUACUCCCUUAGUACAGAUGCUCCUCAACUUAUGGUUAAGUUACAUCACAAUAAAUCCAUCCUACAUUAUCAUAGGUCGAAAAUACACUUAACACACCUAACCUACUGAACAUCAUAGCUUAUCCUAGCCUACCUUAUGUGCUCAGAACACUUACAUUAGCUCACACUGGGCAGAAUCAUCUAAUGCAAAGCCUAUUUCAUGAUAAAGUGUUAAAUAGCUCAUGUAAUUUAUCGAAUGCUGUACUGAAAGUGAAAAAUAGAAUGGUUGUAUGGGUACUCUACUUAAUGUGUAUCGCUUUUGCGCCACUGUAAAGUCAGACCAUUUUAAGUUGGGGUCUGUGUGUAGCAGACAUCAGAAGUGGUGGUGUUCGUUCCCAUCCCUUGGUGGCUGAGUAAGCAUAGCUUGUGGUGUGUGGAAAAUCGCUCAGGUACACUACCAGGCAGGUUGUUCUGUUCUACACACAGAACAGAUGGGCUCAUGGACCCAAUUAAAAUGCUUGAAUCAUAUUUUUAACUUAAUUGAAAUCACACAGUGAGAAGCAAAGGAGAAGAGAAGGGCCGGUUAACACACUUGGUUGAGGUGCAGUAAGAGGGAAAGAUUCCCGUCUGAAUCUUGGGGCACUCAAUGUCAGAUCACCUGAGACCCGAAUGGGUGUCAUUCGUGGGUGGCCAAAUGAAGACUCAUGAAUAUUAAGUACUCGUGUAUCUUUAGCAUAUCCCAAAUACCUAGUGUCUCUUCUACACUUUUUACAUUAUGACUAUUUAGUACCCAAGUGGUGCCUCAUGAUUAUUAGAUAUAUUUUUAUCCUUCCUUCUGUCUAUGUUUAGCACACAUGGUCUACUGAUUAACUGCUAAUCUUGUGCUUAACACAUCUUAUGAGUUCUGUUUAUGUUCAACAAUAUUUUUGCUUUCCAGUUUCUUAUCCAUUUAAAACAUCUUAAAAAGUUAUGCUUAUGUUUGACAAACUACACAUUUAUUAAUCUGAUAGGCUGAAUAUUCUCAAUGCAAAUGCAUGUUAUAGUUUGGAAAAUGGCCAUUUCAGGAAACAUUAUUUCUGUCUGUUUUAAACAAAAGCAACAUAUUUGUGUAAUUAAGGUAGCUAACAGUUGUAGCUAAGAAUUGGGCAUUUUUAUGAAGUCUAUAUUAUCUUACUGUUUUAAUCACCUAAAAUUGUACUGUCUAAUAGGUAGCCUCUGGCUACAUGUGGCUACUGGGUACUGGGACCUUGGCUGGUCCAUUAAGUUCACAUUGAGAUGUGCUGCAAAUGUAAAAUAUGUACCAAUUUCAAGGUUUAGUAUGAGAAAAGCAAAAUGUCUUACUAACACUUUGUAUAUUGAUUACAUAUUGAAAUGAUGUUUUGGUUAUAUUGAUUACUUAAAUUAUUAAAAAUAAUUUUACCUGC